This 497-nucleotide ribosomal RNA is filed under the name uncultured bacterium. RNAcentral describes it as "partial 16S ribosomal RNA". It matches the Rfam family "Bacterial small subunit ribosomal RNA", at positions 28 to 507 of the family's 1533-position model. The record is from RNAcentral.
GAUGAACGCUGGCGGCGUGCCUAAUACAUGCAAGUCGAGCGAACGGACGAGAAGCUUGCUUCUCUGAUGUUAGCGGCGGACGGGUGAGUAACACGUGGAUAACCUACCUAUAAUACUGGGAUAACUUCGGGAAACCGGAGCUAAUACCGGAUAAUAUUUUGAACCGCAUGGUUCAAAAGUAAAAGACGGUCUUGCUGUCACUUAUAGAUGGAUCCGCGUUGCAUUAGCUAGUUGGUAAGGUAACGGCUUACCAAGGCAACGAUGCAUAGCCGACCUGAGAGGGUGAUCAGCCACACUGGAACUGAGACACGGUCCAGACUCCUACGGGAGGCAGCAGUAGGGAAUCUUCCGCAAUGGGCGAAAGCCUGACGGAGCAACGCCGCGUGAGUGAUGAAGGUCUUCGGAUCGUAAAACUCUGUUAUUAGGGAAGAACAUAUGUGUAAGUAACUGUGCACAUCUUGACGGUACCUAAUCAGAAAGCCACGGCUAACUACGUG